Molecule: long non-coding RNA, 1254 nt
Organism: Carya illinoinensis
Lineage: Eukaryota; Viridiplantae; Streptophyta; Magnoliopsida; Fagales; Juglandaceae
Exons: 2
Source: RefSeq, a predicted model, not a curated record
AGUCAGUAGCCUAUGUUAGACUAAAAUUGUGCUAAUAAUUUGGUGUUUGAUUGUUACAUACCAUUAUUGCGUAAAGCUGCAAAUAUUUAUGGAGACGCCUCUCCAGACUAGAAUCUUGUUGAAUUUUUAGGGAACUGCGUGGUGGAGCCAUAAUCUUUCAAUAAAAUGGAUUAGAUGUUGUAAUCUCAGUUUGAACGACCUGGAGGAAUAUCCUAAACUAACUUAUUUGUAUGUUGAGGCGGCUGUAGAACGUAAACUAUUUAAUUUAAUACAAUGAUCAUUAGGAUUUUAAGAAUGUUAUCAUAGAAAUGAGAAGUCAGUUUUAGAUUUGACUAUUUAUUUUUAUGAGUAGAAUAUUUGACUUUAUACAUUAAUGUUAAGCAUUAGAUCAUUUGAAACUCUUACCAACCUUGCCUACCAAGUCAUUGCUCUGCACAUAGAUAUAUCUAGCUAGUACAUGCAUGUAUGUUAUGUUAGAAGUAGAUGGAAGUAGUUAGGAUUUUUUUCUUUUUAUUUUUUUGGUGAAAGGAUAAUCUAUAUAUAUAUAUAUAUAUAUAUAGUAUAACAUAAACCCUUGGGUGUAAAUGUUGGCUAUGGAGUUCUUGAAUUGAUUUAGAUCUCCUCUUCCUUUCAUGUAGAUAUUUCUGCACUGUCACCUACCUCCAGCAAACUUGUUGGCUUGAAAACAUAUGUUUUGUUUUGAUUGUGUGCAGCCUUAUGUUUUGGUUUGAUGUUUACUUGCAUAAGUAAUAUUUUUUGCAGAGAGUUUGAAAUAAGGAUUGUAUAAUUCUGCUUAACUCAGCAGUUGGUUUGAAGGAUUGAAGUGCUAUUGUCUGAUGCAUCCUUAAGACGAGAAACAUCAAUUGAAAAAAGUGAGACGAUCUUGUGGCCACACGCUUACUUGUUCUCAACUACUUAUUUGGACUUGAAUAUCGACAACCUUUGGCUCCCUUUGAGGGAAGUGGGCGUGCACGAAGUUGGUCGAUCCCGUGCAAUAAAUUGGACUUCAUUGUUCCGUACCCAAAAAAGUGAAAAACUAAAGAUGGAACAAGGAAAGGGAGAGACACGUACGGAAGCUCCAACCCUCUUAGAACAUACGAAAAUAGGCCAGGUAACUAUUCAGAUUUUGAGAAAAGUUGUAAUUAGGACAUUUUCAAUGGGUUAUCUAAAUUUUAAUAGUCAAUAGAUAAUCAAAAUCUAUUUUUUCUAUUUUAUCUAAUAACUUGUACAAUACAUCUUACAUCAACUUAUAUA